Molecule: ribosomal RNA, 91 nt
Filed under: Escherichia coli
Lineage: Bacteria; Pseudomonadati; Pseudomonadota; Gammaproteobacteria; Enterobacterales; Enterobacteriaceae
Also listed under: 1 other name
Source: RNAcentral
UUUGGUGGCGAUAGCGAAGAGGUCACACCCGUUCCCAUGCCGAACACGGAAGUUAAGCUCUUCAGCGCCGAUGGUAGUUGGGGGCUUCCCC